UACGGGGGAUGCAAGCGUUAUCCGGAAUCACUGGGCGUAAAGCGUCUGUAGGUGGUUCAGUAAGUCUGCUGUUAAAUAUUGGGGCUUAACCCUAACCAAGCAGUGGAAACUACUAAACUAGAGUAUGGUAUGGGUAGAGGGAAUUCCCAGUGUAGCGGUGAAAUGCGUAGAUAUUGGGAAGAACACCAGUAGCGAAGGCGCUCUGCUAGGCCAUUACUGACACUCAGAGACGAAAGCUAGGGUAGCGAAUGGG
RNAcentral lists this ribosomal RNA (253 nucleotides) under uncultured bacterium. RNAcentral describes it as "partial 16S ribosomal RNA". It matches the Rfam family "Bacterial small subunit ribosomal RNA", at positions 524 to 776 of the family's 1533-position model. The record is from RNAcentral.